This is a long non-coding RNA of Peromyscus eremicus (cactus mouse), 411 nucleotides long. RefSeq lists it as uncharacterized. The record is from RefSeq and is a predicted model, not a curated record. NCBI's taxonomy places the organism in Eukaryota, Metazoa, Chordata, Mammalia, Rodentia, Cricetidae. The transcript has 3 exons.
UAGACUUUCUCAAACAGAAUACACCUUAGAAGGUUGAGGGAACUGGAGAAAACGUUUUCUUGAUUGUGUUGUUCGCUCAAGGCACUAUUGCAUUAAGGGGAUCAUAUGACUGCAGGACUUAAGGAUAACAAAUGGCCAUAGCACUUGCGAAGAUUUUAUGGUCACCACGGAAGAAAGCCAAUGAGAAGAGGGAAGGAACAAAUGCAAACGCACUAAGAAACACACACAGCUUAUAGCAUCUUCUAGCCCAUACUUGGCAUUGGAUGUUCAUGUUCUUUGUUUUGAUUUACAUGGUGGAUUACAUUGACAGAUUUUCAUACGUUGAACCAUUCCUGCAUCUCUGGAAUGAAGCCUACUUGAUCAAGGUGGAUGAUCUUUUUGACGUGUUCUUGGAUUCUGUUUGUAAGUAAU